GAGGUUCUGGCUGACCUGGAUGCUGCAGCUAUAAAUGGAGGCAGCUCUCUGCUCCCACAGAAAGCCAUCCUCUGAAGGGGUGGCUGUGCAGGUGGGUUCCUGGUUCCCUGUGCCCUCCUGCUGCCGUGCUCCUGGUCUGAUGCUGUGGAUGCUGUCUGCCAGACACUGGACACUGCUGCAGGCAGACUCUUGGGCUGCCUUUGAAGAAGGCAAACUCACCAGUCCUUAACCAGCCAGCAAAGAUAUUCAAACCCACAUUGAAGAAAUAAGCCUAAAAGUUCUCUCAGAGAAGAUACACUAUAGAAAGAGUAAGAUGGAUGCUCUACAUAAAUUGAAGAUUUUGGUGAUGUUUUUGUCUCUGGCUACUUUCAUGAUCAUGGUGAUAAUGAAUGCUGGAAAUGCCACUGGGAUUUUCAAAGGUCUGUUCAGGACAACCCCUGGAAACAUCUCAGCCAAGUACAGCACAGAUUUCACACCAGCUGGCUGGACUUUCCUCAUCUGGAAUGUCAUCUACGCCUGGCAGCUCGCCUGGCUUCUCUACGCCUUGUCAGGGAUCUGCAGAAGGAAUGAACUUGGAUAUGUCUUCAUGAAGCCAGACUUGCUGCCAAUACCUUUUUAUGUGGCGUGGUGUCUGAAUAAUGGCCUCAAUGUUGGAUGGCUCUUUCUGUGGGACCGAGAAUACCUCCUUCCAGCCCUGGUGUUCCUGGCAGUCCUGUCCCUUACCACAUGUGCCUGCCUGUUUGUCUCCCACCGAGCCUUGAGCAUCCAUUCCUCGUGGUUUGUGAAGGCUAACAAGGCUGAGCUCUGGCUCAUCCGCAUUCUGGUGCAGAACGGGCUGGCUCUGUACCUGACGUGGACCAGCAUCGCCACGCUGCUCAACUUCGCCGUGGUGCUCAUCCACAAGUGGAACGUGCCCAGCGAGAAAGCGACCACUGCUUCCCUGAGCAUCCUGGCUCUCAGCCUGGUGAUAUGGUUUUAUCUAGAAAAUUACCUUCUCGACAAGUACGUCCGCUAUAACCUCACAGUCUACCCCGUGGUCAUAGCAGCUCUGACAGGCAGCGCCUGUGGGAACGGCUCCUUCUCAUCCCCACUGACCAACCACGUUUUCAUAGUUGUUCUGCUGGCACUGACGUGUUUGAUCUUUGCUGUUCGGCUGGGACUGGUUGUGUGGAGACACUGGAAGAGACCACUGGAAGCAUGAGAACCCUGAGGCCCAUCAGGCACAGUGACCUGAGACCUCUGGCACAUUGUGGGUGAUGCUUGAAAGGGAGAAAAAAGAAUUGGGCAUGUGCUGGCUCUUGUUCCUGUAUCCAUUCCCUUCUGCAUUUCUCUCUUAUUCUCUGUUCCAAAUGCAGAUGUCUUGUGUCCGCAAAUGUGUCUUGCUCCCACAUUCUCUCAGAUCAGUUACUCACAACCCUGUCUUGAGUUCCUUUGGUUUUAUCCUGGAAAAGUUCAGGAAAAGCAGCCCUGUGCAGCUUUGUGAUGCCUGGGCUGUGGCUCUCUUCUCCUGCCAGUGCAAGCAGGGCUGCCAACAGGCACCCAGCAGGCCUGCACACACAGUUUUUCCUGUUUUUCCCUUGGUAUCUCACUUUCUUGGAAGUGCAGACCCAAGUGACCUGUCCCUGGGGUUCCAGGUGGGAGAGCUGUCAUUCAUUGCCUUGGCCAUCAGGGCUGAGCAUCCUCAAGCCCUGGUGCUGUCAGCAGAUCUCCUGCAGGCAGCCACUGCUCCUUUCCUGCUUCUCUGCAGCAUGACAGGGGCAGAGACUAGGAUUUGACAUCUGCCUUUGCAGUGUCAGCUCUGCAGUUUGAUGUUCAAGGGGGCAGGGGGAGGGACUGAAGGUUUCUGACACAAAGGUGUUGGUGUUGCCUUUCCCUGAGCUGGGCACAGCUUGGGCUGGCUGGAUGUCUCUCACUGGGGGAGUUUGUGGCUACUCUGGAAGGAGCUCAGAUGUACAGAUGAGCUGGUCCCUGAUCUGGGGUGAAGCCUGAUGCUUCAAAGGAAGCCUGUUAAAAAAAAAAUAAAUAAAAAUUGAACAGGUAGAGCAAGUUCAUCCUGGAUCAGUGCCUUCUCAUGUGGCUUCACCACUUCUGAGUUGGGAUUAGGAAGCCUAAAACUGGAUUGACUGAAUUUUUGGACCACUGCCUUUCCUUCCUGUGCCUAAUUGAGAGCUGGUGGUGCCUCACAGGUGUCUGGAAAGUCUUGGCACCAGGAAGGUGCUUUCAGUGCAUCUUGCAGUAUUAUUAACAAAGCUAAAUUCUAAAAUAACAUGUGCUGUUGUUUACAUUUAGCAAAAAGCAAAAGCAGUGUAAUGCAUCUCCCCUCAUCAUUCUGGUGUGUUGUUUUUUUUUUUUUUUUCUAUUUUUUAAUUUUAAAAUAAGUCAGCUCAUUCUAUCACUCUGCAACUAACUCUGUAAAUCAUCUAAAGCAGCUGUCCUGGCCCCUUCCUCACUCAUGCCCAGGGCUCCAGAGUGACUCUGGUCCCUUGCUGGAAUCUCAUGGAGGUGAAGAGUUGGAGGAUGUAGAUUGCUAGGUAUGAUUUAAACUCCUUUGACCAGCACACUGUUCAUUAAGUUUCUAUUUUAUAGGCUCUGCCUCCCAAGAUCCCAGCUAAUAAAUUCCCAGCAGCCUCUCCCUAAGCUGCCUUCUUUAAUACAGGGGAAUUAAAGCCACUGGCAGGGGGAUUAAGGGGUCCAGGCAAGGUGAGAAGCUGCUGUGAGGCUGUGCAGCAGUUCAUGCAUGGCAGGGUUUUGCAGCCUCCCUCUUGCAGCAAGAGCACUGCAAAGAGCUCCUGGGCCAGGGCAGCUGCACUUUCCCAUUAAAAAAUGCCUUAUCAG
Long non-coding RNA from Taeniopygia guttata (zebra finch), 2835 nucleotides. Lineage: Eukaryota; Metazoa; Chordata; Aves; Passeriformes; Estrildidae. The record is from Ensembl.